Equus caballus (horse) is the source of this 5290-nucleotide non-coding RNA. Lineage: Eukaryota; Metazoa; Chordata; Mammalia; Perissodactyla; Equidae. The record is from RefSeq and is a predicted model, not a curated record.
GUGACGGCCCUUCCAGGAAUUCAGCAGAAAACGAAGUUUACCGUCUGGAGAAGUUUGGGGAAAAUGUGAGGGCUAUCGACUGGUGGAGACCAGACACAGCUGAGAAUUCUGUGGUUCAGUAAUUCGGGUAGAACAGAGUGAAGAUGGAUUGCCUCUGUUGCAUAAUGUCUGGGGCCUAAUCUGGGAAAUUCAAACAGUUGGAGAGAGUUUCUGCUUCGGGGAAAAUCCCAAACUAAAGCAGUUGGGCAAAGAAAUGGUCCUCCAAGAUGGGGUCCUCAAGAUGGGAUGCCUGAUUGGGUCACUCACUGACCAGAUGGUAACAAGGAUCAUAUAUGGGAUGCUGAUAAUCCCUAAAUACCAUAGCACCUCCAUUAGCUCUCACCUGUGGUGAACUGGGAUAGCAUGCGAGUGGAAGGACGAUGUGCUUAUACACCAUCACUGACAUUUCAGAGAUGGCAACAACGGAUACAGCAAGAAGGUAUCUGCCAAGCAGGCAAAGGGCUCUCACCAGGAAGCGAACUGAUCGGCACCUUGAUUUUGGACUUCCCAACCUUCAGAACUUCGAGGAAUAAAUUUCUGUUGUUUAAGCCACCCAGUCAAUGGUAUAUUUGUUACAACAGCCCAAACUGGCGAAGACAGGGUCUGGGCUGAUACUGGUCCUAGGGAAACCAAAAUACCAUCAUGGCUUUCCUGUUAGAGUGAGUGAAGGCAGGCAGAGGCCAGGUAGGUGAUAAAUGGAGUCCUGGCCCAGGUCUAUCUCACAGUGAGUCCAAUGGGUCCCAAGAUCGUGCUCUGCAGUCACUUCCCCAUUCUUUGAAAUAAGGAUGGACACAUUUAACAGGUCACAGAAUCUUCACAUUGAUCCCUCAGCUGCAGUAUGAGAUACUGAAGUAGAAAAGGCCGAGUGGAAGCCUCUGAAACUGCUUCCCCACCCCAGCCAAGAGAGUGACUCAGAAGCAAGACUGCAUCUCAGGUAGAAUACCAAAGAUCAACGAUACCCUCAAAGUCUUUAAAAAUGUGGGGAUGGUUUUAUCUCCCAUUUGGCAUCUGCAAAAGGAUCAUGGUGGAUAACAGUGGGUUACUCUAAAUUUAACCAAGUGGUAGCCUCAAUUUUAGCUGCUAUAUCAGGUUUAGUAUCUUUAUUAGAACAGAUCAACACAGCCUCUGGCAUAGUAUGCAGCUAUUGAUCUGGCAAGCUCAGUCUUUCUAAUCCCAUAAAGAUAGAGGAUCAGAAGCAAGUCACAUUCACUUGAACGGCCAACAAUACCUGUCCAUGGUCUUGUCCUAGGGCAAUAUUAGUGCUCCUGCUCUCUGCCACAGUAUCUGCACAUGCCAGGGGACAACACACCAGCCCGCUUUAUCAAUGACAUCAUUUAAACCAAACCUGGGAUGGUAGCAAGGACUCUGGAUGCUCUGGAAAGACACGCAGGUCAGAGGGUGGAAAAUAAAUCCUGCAAAGAUUCAGGGUCUGCCCCAUCAGUGAAGUUUUCAGGAAAAUAGUAGUCUAGGGCAUGCCAGCACAUUGUCUGCAAAGUAAAGGACACACUGCCCUCUCUACCACUAAAAGCGAGGAGCAGUGCCUGGUAGACCCCUUCAUGUUUUUGGAGAUAGCAUGUAUCCCACUGAGGAAUACUGCUGUAAAUUGUUUAUCAGGUGACUGAGAAGGCUGUCAGUUAUGAGUGGGGCCCAGAGCAAGACAGGGCUUUGCAGGAAGUCAGGCUGUGGUAUGAGCAGUAUGAGCAGCCCUGUCUCCUGGGCCAGGGCAUAUGGCAUGGUACUGGAAGUUUCCACGUAGAGAAGGCUGUUGUGGCAAAGCCUCCACAGGAGUGUCGCAGCACAGAUCUCUCAGGCUCUGCAGCAAGGCUCUGCCGUCUGUAGCAGAGAACUGUUCACCACCUGAAAAGUAGCUUCUGGCAUGCAACUGAGCUCCAACAGAGAGUGAGUGUCUGACCAUGGAACACCAGAGCUGCCCACCCUGGGCUGGGUAUUCUCAGACACACACACAGCCAUGAGGUCAGGUGGGCAACAGCCAUCUGUUAAGUCUGGAACUGUGAAGGGUCUAAGAUAUUAUCCUUCCUGGAUAAUCUAGUGAGCCUCCCACCCUGUCACAGUUUCAUACACACACACACCCCACCUCUGAAUCAGAGAGGAGAACAUUUACUCAGAGAGCAUCCCGGCAGUGCCAAUUCCCCAUACAGCGAUGCAGUAAGGGCCAGAUGUAUAUCCACAUGCCAGGACUGCACCCACAGGAGAGGAACCCUGAAACUAUGCGACUCAGAGCGAUACAGGGGGGCUGGCACACCUGUGCCUUCUCUGUAUCUCUCUCGACCUUUGCUCCGAGAAGAAGAAGAGAAGGUCCUUAGGUUUUUAUUACUCUUACAAUAUAAGCAAAUGGCUCCAGGGCAGAUGAGCCUUAACAACUUUUGGAGUAAUUCACUAUCUCUAAUUUCCAAGAUAUGUUUGUCACUCAAUCAUUCUUUAACCUAGAAUGACAGUCGUUUUUGCUCAGGAAGCUCUGACUGUGCAGAAACAUGAAAGUACCCAUGCAGCAUUGUCUUCCAACACAGUCUAUCGAGGGGAUCCAUUUCAAGCAGGUCCAGAGGGCACAAGUAGCUCACAUCGUGGACUUGUGUUGCACCAGCUCUUCUGCUUCAUCGCAAAACUUUGGCCUUGGUGCCGUGGAGGGAGGGGGGCAAGUGGGUGUCCCAGACCUUUUGUGGAUGGGUCAGCUCAGUGGGUUGGUGUAGCUGAAAAUGGACUGCUUUUGCAUUAUAGUCCCACUCAGGGGUGGCUCUGAUAGUGGUGAGGGAAAAAUCUCCUAGUGGGCAGAGCUUUGAGCAGUAUGCCUGGUCAUUAACACGUUUUAGGGAAAAGUGGCCUGAUGUAAGAAUAUAUAUGGACUCCUGAGCAUCAGGGGCAAAUAAAUUAGUGUUGUAAGUCACAGGCCUGAAAAGAAUAAAAUUGAAAGAUGGCAGACAAAAAGGUCUGGAGAAAAAGCAUGUGGAGAGACCUAUGGGAGUGGGCUGGAAGGGAGAACAGGCAUGGAACAACCAGGUGGUUAGGAUGAUCCAUCUAUUAAAGGUCAGCCACCCCAUCUCCUGCACAAUGGGCCCUGGAAACUAUGAUGAGAGGGAUGGAGACUAUAAAUGAGCCCAAGAUUAUGGGCUUCCCCUCAUUAAGACUGAUACAUCUUCUCCAUUGCUAUAUGUCUGACCUGUCAGCAGCAGAAAUUGAUGGUACUGUGACGGUACAGCCUCUCAAUAUGGUACUUUGCCUUGAGAAUACCAGCCAGCCAUUUGGUGGCAAAUUAAUUAUAUCAGACUGCUCCCACUCCGGAGGGGACAGCAAUUCCUCCUAAGUGGAAUUUGACACAUAUUCCAAAUAUGGGUUUGCCUUCCUUGUCCUAUCCAAGGAUUUACAGAAUGUCUGCUUUAUCACAAUGGGAUCUUGCUUCAAAAUCGCACUGGAAACACUUUGACAGAGGAGGUGCUACAGUGGGCGCAUGGCUGCGGGAUUCACCAGUCUUCCUACACCACCUCACUCACAAGCUGCUGAUCAGACAGAAUACUGGACGAGCCUCUUGAAAGUGCGGCCAGGACACCAACUUAGGGGUAACAAUCUAGGAGACUGGAGCACUGUCCUUCAACACGUGGGUAAUACUUUGAAACAAUGACCACCACUGUGUCCCCACUGGAUAGAAUGCACGGGUCUAGAAAACAGUAAGGGGAAGGACAGUGGCUUCUCUCACUCCAGCAACCCGCUUGGGAACACUCCUCAACUAGAGGUUCUGUUCAAGGAUAGGAGGAAACUUCCACAAAGGGACACCAAGUGCUGUCUAGUUAUUUGGAGCUUUUUAUGCUGGUUGACCAUCAGCCAAAUAAAGGCGUUAGUACACUGGCAGGGAAAUUGGCCUGAUUAUUAAGAAAGAUAAGGUCGCUGCUACAGGGGCAGAGCAGAACAUGUCUGGAACUUAAAGGACUUGCUCUUGGUACAUCUCUGACUUGGUAAUGACAGGAGGGCAAUUGCAGCAACCAUGGCCUUACAAGGGCAAGGUAGGCAGGGACUCAGUGCCUCAGAAGGGAUGAAGGUCUGGGCAGCCCAUUGUAGACUGGCAGAGUGCAAACCUAGAAGGUAUGGUAGAGGAGAGAGGCAAUAAAUAUCAGUAUUGGUCUCAGCACCAAUGCUGUAGCAGUGUGGACUUUAUAGCCUCUUCUAAUCAACCUUCCAAGUUCCUUUUUUAAAAAAAAAAAAAAUAUGACCAACCAACACCUGGAGGAAGCAGUGACAGGACAGAGUAAACUUAAUGUAUGGCCUGAAUAAAUGUACGGUCUGAUCUGUAGAUAUUGUUGCUGUCCUCCCUUACUCCCUCAGGCCUUACCAGGACAGUACAGACAGGUCCCACCUCUCCUACCAACACUUGCUUCUUUUUGCCUAAGGGCUUUGCCUGAGCCAGAGCCCACUCUGCCUGAAUGCAGAGUCCAGAAGUGCCAAGAAUUAACACCCUGUGGUGUUUAUUCAGAGCAGCCUAAAUCAGCGACUGACAGGAGUUGGUGUAUAAAUAUCUCUGUCUCUGCCCCUCAGGUGGGAUAACUUCAAGACACGUAACUUUAAGUCCACUGGUUCCUAGACUUCCUCGGUGGUGUUACACUCCACCCACAGUAGGAUCUGGCUUGAUAGUGUAUCCUCUAUUAGCUGCUCUUCCUUCCGUGUCUCACUCAAUUGAUAUUUCAUGGGACCAUCUCUCAAAUAAACUACUUGCAGUCAAAUUUUUGUCUUAGGGUCCGCCCUUAGGGGAACCCAAACUAACAGAGACGACCUGAGUACAUAACUUAGGAGUAAGAGCAGAUUGGAAAUAGACUAGCCCUGGAAGAGACUGAAGCCCAGUUUCAAUUCAGCUCAGUCCCUGAGUGGAUGAGGAUAAUUUGCCUUUCCUCUAUUUACAUUUGGAAAUCCUCCCUGGAGAAAGAUAUCAUCCUGGGCUGCAAAUUAUCUUUACAAUUUCAUACAGGAUGCCUGGCAUUUAAAUAAAAAUAGCUAGGCAAACAAAAAGACAAAAACGACUGAAAAUCAAGAGGCAAAAUAGACAAGAGGAACAGACUCACAGGCAAUCCAGAUUUUACUAUUAUCAGACAUGGAUUUUCAAAUAACUAUAACUAAUAUGUUCAAGAUACUAACAAUGAAGGACUUCAGCAGAAAACUAGAAGCUAUAAACUAGAAUCAUUAUAAAAACCACAGAGCCGAGGGGUCGGCCCAGUGGUGUGGCAGUUAAGUGCGCACGUUCCACUUCAGU